UGGCUUAGAGGGUAAAGCGUCUGCCUGGAAUGCGGGAGACCUGGGUUCAAUCCCUG
RNAcentral lists this transfer RNA (56 nucleotides) under Bos taurus (domestic cattle). It matches the Rfam family "tRNA", at positions 8 to 63 of the family's 71-position model. From Rfam's summary of the family: Transfer RNA (tRNA) molecules are approximately 80 nucleotides in length. Their secondary structure includes four short double-helical elements and three loops (D, anti-codon, and T loops). Lineage: Eukaryota; Metazoa; Chordata; Mammalia; Artiodactyla; Bovidae. RNAcentral also lists the same sequence under 2 other names. The record is from Rfam by way of RNAcentral.